GACGAAGGGGGCAAGCGUUGUUCGGAAUUACUGGGCGUAAAGGGCGCGUAGGCGGUUCUUUAAGUCAGGCGUGAAAGCCCUGGGCUCAACCUGGGAGUGGCGCUUGAUACUGGAGGACUAGAGAGUGGGAGAGGUUGGUGGAAUUCCCAGUGUAGAGGUGAAAUGCUUAGAUAUCGUCAAGAACACCGAUAGCGAAGGCAGCUUACUGGGCUGUAACUGACGCUGAGGCACGAAAGUGUGGGGAUCAAACAGG
Molecule: ribosomal RNA, 253 nt
Filed under: uncultured bacterium
Lineage: Bacteria
Description: partial 16S ribosomal RNA
Rfam family: Bacterial small subunit ribosomal RNA
Source: RNAcentral